This 253-nucleotide ribosomal RNA is filed under the name uncultured bacterium. Its description in RNAcentral is "partial 16S ribosomal RNA". It matches the Rfam family "Bacterial small subunit ribosomal RNA", at positions 524 to 776 of the family's 1533-position model. The record is from RNAcentral.
UACGUAGGGAGCAAGCGUUGUCCGGAAUCAUUGGGCGUAAAGCGCGCGUAGGCGGCCCGAUAAGUCCGCUGUAAAAGUCAACGGCUCAACUGUUGAAAGCCGGUGGAUACUGUCGGGCUAGAGUACGGAAGGGGCAAGUGGAAUUCCUGGUGUAGCGGUGGAAUGCGCAGAUAUCAGGAGGAACACCCAUAGCGAAGGCAGCUUGCUGGGACGUUACUGACGCUAAGGCGCGAAAGCGUGGGGAGCGAACAGG